CAGAGGGGGCAAGCGUUAUUCGGAAUUAUUGGGCGUAAAGGGCGCGUAGGCGGCUUUUCAAGUGACGGGUGAAAUCCCUCGGCUUAACCGAGGAACUGCCUGUCAGACUGGAAGGCUUGAGACCGGGAGAGGUGAGUGGAACUCCCAGUGUAGCGGUGAAAUGCGUAGAUAUUGGGAGGAACACCAGUGGCGAAGGCGGCUCACUGGACCGGAACUGACGCUGAGGCGCGAAAGCGUGGGGAGCAAACAGGAUUAGAUACCCUGGUAGUCCACGCCGUAAACGAUGAGUGCUUGGUGUAGCGGGUAUCGACCCCUGCUGUGCCGAAGUCAACACAUUAAGCACUCCGCCUGGGGAGUACGGUCGCAAGACUG
Molecule: ribosomal RNA, 372 nt
Filed under: uncultured organism
Description: bacterial SSU rRNA
Rfam family: Bacterial small subunit ribosomal RNA
Source: RNAcentral